RNAcentral lists this non-coding RNA (20 nucleotides) under Rattus norvegicus (Norway rat). Lineage: Eukaryota; Metazoa; Chordata; Mammalia; Rodentia; Muridae. The record is from RNAcentral.
UAGAAAUUAUUGUGGGAAGC